This 107-nucleotide microRNA precursor is filed under the name Canis lupus familiaris (dog). RNAcentral describes it as "mir-8834 microRNA precursor family". It matches the Rfam family "mir-8834 microRNA precursor family". Lineage: Eukaryota; Metazoa; Chordata; Mammalia; Carnivora; Canidae. RNAcentral also lists the same sequence under 1 other name. The record is from Rfam by way of RNAcentral.
AGGAGGAACAGCAACAGUGGUGGCGGCCAGCUCCCCAGCCCUGGAGUCAGCUCCCGCAGUAACUACAGAGCUCUCAGUCCGCCAGGGCCUGGAUGCUCCGUGGGGCG